UCUAUCAUACCUCGGUUUUCACACCCUCUUUUCUAACAGAGAAGAAGAUAGAAAUCUGCUAGGUUUUUGGUAAAACUCCUGAAAUCAAAAGCUUUAUCUCUUCAUCAUUUUAUCCCAAUCGAGAUCUUCUAAGCUUUAUUUCGCUCUUUUCUUUUUCUCUCAUUAUCUCUCUUUCAAAACCUCUCUUUUUGAAUUGAUAAUAACUAUGAAAAAAUCAUAGUUGAUUUCAGCUGGAAAACCAUAAAUUAAAACCUUUUCUUUAAAACCUUGACAUCCUAAUCAAAGCCCAUUUACCAGAAUUCUAGAUCUAUCGAUUUUUUUUGGAACCCUAGAAAAUUUAUUUUGUUCCUGAUAUCGAAAGUAAACCAUCGAUCCGAUAGGUUAUUGUGCUUCUACUAACGAACAGUUGAUUGAUUCCAUCAGGUUUAUGAAUUGUUCUGUUGAAGUUUUUUUAGAUUUGAUUUGUGAAGAAUCAUUUCUUUGAAGGUUUGAGAUUUUGCUAUAUUGGAUGAAGAAGAUAGUGGUUUUAGAAUACAAUCUAAAACCAGGGAAUUGAUGAUAGGUCGGGUUUUGACGUAUUGUGCGCCAAAUUUGUUCAUCGCAGAGAGAGGUAUGAAAUACUGCAUCUAUGGGAUGAUGCUCUCAAGGCGUACAUUGUUGAAGCAUCUCGGGUAACAAGUCCCUAUGUCAGUUUGGAUGCUAUAUGGUCAAUGAUGGUCGAUUAAAAACAGCUGGUACAGCUUCUCAUAGGAGUAUUAAGAAAGAUUGGGCAUAUUGGAUGAGACAUUUUAGUAUUGAGCUUCUCAAAGAAUCCAUAUCCCCAGCUUUUCGAACUUGUGCAAGGCUUGCGCAAUCACAGGUGGUACCUGAAUUUUGUUUAAAAUUUGUUUUGUUAUUUGUGUAUCUACUUUUGGUCCUGACAAUUGAUCGCGAGCUGUUUGCAGCUGGUUUCGUGAGUUGCUGGGCUCAGCUGAAUGAAACUUGUCAGAAACAAUUAGUUUUUAGUUUAGAGAUGACAUUUUCUUCUCCAAUAGUUCUUCUGGUGAUGUAACUAUUUAUUGAUGUGCUGGAAUAGUUCUUGCAUUUCUUCUUCAGUUAUUAGAGAUUAUGGGUGUCGUGGACCUCCAUGUUCAUUACCGGAAUCAGCGAAGCUUGCCGUGGUCACCUGGACAAGUUAUCCGUGCAUCCAGUGAUACUGGCCAGCAUAUCCGAUCAACGGGGGUGCAAGGCACACAGUCUCGGAUUGACAGUGUCAAAACAUAUUGAACUUACUCAUUAUUGUAAGUUGCUAGUGGGUGCAAGAUUAGGUGCCACCCCAUUAAUGGAACUGAUGAUAGCUGCUGGAAAGGCAGAUCCACAACUGCAAUUUGAACAUGGCCUGGCUGUUGACUAAGUGUAUACGGGAUCAUUAGUGUCUUCUCUUGAAAGCGGAUGAAUCCAUAUUUAAGCUGAGUACCCAAUGUUAAUUACCUAAGUUUGCAUAAUCUAUGAGUACCCAAUGUUAAUUACCAUUCUUAUAUGCUGAUGGCUUACCUUCCUUAAGCUGUAGUUUAGACUCAGGGACACUGAAUAAAAUUGUUCUUCGCCAAUCACUUCAGGGAUUUUACUCACUCUCCGUAUCUGUGGUAUAAUCAUAAUAACUAUGUGAUGCUAGCAAUUUUAUCAAGUUUUGCGUUUUUUCAACUGCUACAGGCUGAAUAUAAGAACUGGACCUUCCCCAUCGGAGUUUCAAUUAUGUUGUCUGGACAGUAUGAAGAUGAUCUAGAUAAUUCUGAUGAUGUUAUAAUGGGAACUAAACAAAUCUCAAAUAGCUGACCAAGUAAUGAAACGUGGCAACUUGACUCUCAAGAACAAUAUAGAUCAGAAAGUUCCAGUAAGAGUCAUCCGUGUAAAGGUCUACACACGAUGGUCUUUACAAUGUUGUUGGAUCUUGGGCUGAAAAAGGUGUUUCUGUAUAUACAAUCUUCAAGUACCGUCUCAAGCGCCUUGAAGGGCAGCCAAUACUGACUGCCAACCAGGUUGGUCUGCAAAGUUAUGCGUGGGGGCCAAGAGAACAUUCCGAUUCUAGCACCUGAUUUGGUCGAGACCCCACCUGUUGCUCCGACAGGUGGACGUAUAUCACCACUGCCCAAGCUACUGCAAGCAUAAAGUUCCCUACAAUUGCAAAGGAGAUUAAGAGAUUAUGGUAAGCACGUACCAUGGAUUGUAUGGGUUUAUGGUUCAUCUAUCUAGCUACUCUGAUGAUGUAUGAAUCGUUCUUGAUGGAUUGGAUUGUGAUGAUCAAUAAUUGUUCUUGAUCGAUUGUAAUUCAGGAGCAGAAAUCUGCCGGAAUUUGUGCCGGCGGUAAUUUAUUUUUGAACUGAAAAUUAUUUUGCAACUUAUAUAAAGGUGGAAAAAUUAUCCAUUGCA
RNA transcript from Papaver somniferum (opium poppy), 2409 nucleotides. It is a transcript of the gene named serine/threonine-protein kinase TOR-like, with no coding region annotated. The record is from RefSeq and is a predicted model, not a curated record. Lineage: Eukaryota; Viridiplantae; Streptophyta; Magnoliopsida; Ranunculales; Papaveraceae. The transcript is spliced from 11 exons.